RNAcentral lists this ribosomal RNA (497 nucleotides) under uncultured bacterium. Its description in RNAcentral is "partial 16S ribosomal RNA". It matches the Rfam family "Bacterial small subunit ribosomal RNA", at positions 28 to 507 of the family's 1533-position model. The record is from RNAcentral.
GAUGAACGCUGGCGGCGUGCCUAAUACAUGCAAGUCGAGCGAACAGACGAGGAGCUUGCUCCUCUGACGUUAGCGGCGGACGGGUGAGUAACACGUGGAUAACCUACCUAUAAGACUGGGAUAACUUCGGGAAACCGGAGCUAAUACCGGAUAAUAUAUUGAACCGCAUGGUUCAAUAGUGAAAGACGGUUUUGCUGUCACUUAUAGAUGGAUCCGCGCCGCAUUAGCUAGUUGGUAAGGUAACGGCUUACCAAGGCAACGAUGCGUAGCCGACCUGAGAGGGUGAUCGGCCACACUGGAACUGAGACACGGUCCAGACUCCUACGGGAGGCAGCAGUAGGGGAUCUUCCGCAAUGGGCGAAAGCCUGACGGAGCAACGCCGCGUGAGUGAUGAAGGUCUUCGGAUCGUAAAACUCUGUUAUUAGGGAAGAACAAAUGUGUAAGUAACUAUGCACGUCUUGACGGUACCUAAUCAGAAAGCCACGGUUAACUACGUG